AUUCGGCGAUGAGCUAUAUAACUUGAAGACGACGUAUUGAUACUGAUUCAUUAAGAGCGGGCUAUAAGAGUUACCCGCUAAAAACGAAGCGGCGGUAUCGGCAAUAACUGAUCGUAAGCAAAUGAAUCUGUGAUGCUAAUGACACAAGUGCGCCUUAGGCAGUUAGGAAAGAAGCGGUCUGUAGACCGGUCCGUGUCACAUUGGUAAAUAGGUAACCGAUCAGCUGAUGAUGACGCAAACGACAGUGGCAGUAGCAAAAUGGAGCGAUAUCGCGUUCAAGCAUACCUUGUUCUACUCGGAACUUAUUAACAUGGAGCGGACGAACUGCUCACGAGUUCUACAAGCUAGGCUUAUAUCGAACGCUACUAUUGGUCCUGCUGAUAUAAUACAGCAUAUUCGCUAUAAUGAUGGGACCUUCAAGGGGUGGAAUUAUAUACCGUUCUAUUUUCGUCUCCAAAAGCUCUACGAGUGGCUGUCUUGUGUGAAGUCACAGUUAAUGUAGAUUUGUUUGCUGAGUAGCGAAUCAUAAUUGUUUCGGUGUAAAAGCUGUGGCUACAGAUGAAGGCGGUCGCCUCUUGAUGAAGUCGUAGCAAAAAUAGCCUUUUUCCUGACAGCCAUGCCGAGCUAGGUCGAUUUAGAUUCUGGAUUGGAUUCUGGAUAGUUUCUUCAAAAACAGAGACAAAAAUGAAACCGAUCACUUGAACCAGGCCCAAAUCACUGGGUUUGUCAUGUGCAGACUCUGAGACCGCUUACAUGCUUGUACUUCAUCGUUCUUGAUGACUCUAAAUUGUUUACUUUCGAAAUUAACGUUUUAUUAUGUAGCUGGCUAAAAAUUACUAGCAGUGAAUUAGAUCAAAUACGCCAAUAUUAGUUUCUGCGAUAAUAAACUAAAAU
Long non-coding RNA from Varroa destructor (honeybee mite), 894 nucleotides. NCBI's taxonomy places the organism in Eukaryota, Metazoa, Arthropoda, Arachnida, Mesostigmata, Varroidae. The record is from RefSeq and is a predicted model, not a curated record.